CCUACGGGAGGCAGCAGUCGAGAAUCAUUCACAAUGGGGGAAACCCUGAUGGUGCGACGCCGCGUGGGGGAAUGAAGGUCUUCGGAUUGUAAACCCCUGUCAUGUGGGAGCAAAUUAAAAAGAUAGUACCACACGAGGAAGAGACGGCUAACUCUGUGCCAGCAGUCGCGGUAAUACAGAGGUCUCAAGCGUUGUUCGGAAUCACUGGGCGUAAAGCGUGCGUAGGCUGUUUCGUAAGUCGUGGGUGAAAGGCGCGGGCUCAACCCGCGGAAGGCACAUGAUACUGCGAGACUAGAGUAAUGGAGGGGGAACCGGAAUUCUCGGUGUAGCAGUGAAAUGCGUAGAUAUCGAGAGGAACACUCGUGGCGAAGGCGGGUUCCUGGACAUUAACUGACGCUGAGGCACGAAGGCCAGGGGAGCGAAAGGGAUUAGAUACCCCAGUAGUC
RNAcentral lists this ribosomal RNA (446 nucleotides) under uncultured bacterium. RNAcentral's name for it is "partial 16S ribosomal RNA". It matches the Rfam family "Bacterial small subunit ribosomal RNA", at positions 338 to 795 of the family's 1533-position model. The record is from RNAcentral.